GUGAGGAAUAUUGCGCAAUGGAGGCAACUCUGACGCAGCCAUGCCGCGUGCAGGAAGAAGGCGCUACGCGUUGUAAACUGCUUUUAACCGGGAAGAAACCCCAGGACGUGUCCUGGGUUGACGGUACCGGAGGAAUAAGCACCGGCUAACUUCGUGCCAGCAGCCGCGGUAAUACGAAGGGUGCAAGCGUUAUCCGGAUUCAUUGGGUUUAAAGGGUGCGUAGGCGGAGCGUUAAGUCAGUGGUGAAAUCCUGCAGCUUAACUGUAGACUUGCCGUUGAUACUGGCGCGCUUGAGUGCGCUUGAAGUGGGCGGAAUGUGCCGUGUAGCGGUGAAAUGCUUAGAUAUGGCACAGAACACCAAUUGCGAAGGCAGCUCACUAAGGCGAUACUGACGCUGAGGCACGAAAGCGUGGGGAUCGAACAGGAUUAGAUACCCCAGUAGUCC
This 445-nucleotide ribosomal RNA is filed under the name uncultured bacterium. Its description in RNAcentral is "bacterial SSU rRNA". It matches the Rfam family "Bacterial small subunit ribosomal RNA", at positions 354 to 796 of the family's 1533-position model. The record is from RNAcentral.